UACGGAGGGGGCUAGCGUUGUUCGGAAUUACUGGGCGUAAAGCGCGCGUAGGCGGACUGGUCAGUUGGGGGUGAAAUCCCGGGGCUUAACCUCGGAACUGCCUUCAAUACUGCCAGUCUUGAGUUCGAGAGAGGUAAGCGGAAUUCCUAGUGUAGAGGUGAAAUUCGUAGAUAUUAGGAAGAACACCGGUGGCGAAGGCGGCUUACUGGCUCGAUACUGACGCUGAGGCGCGAAAGCGUGGGGAGCAAACAGG
RNAcentral lists this unclassified non-coding RNA (253 nucleotides) under uncultured Alphaproteobacteria bacterium. RNAcentral's name for it is "contains 16S-23S intergenic spacer region". It matches the Rfam family "Bacterial small subunit ribosomal RNA", at positions 524 to 776 of the family's 1533-position model. The record is from RNAcentral. Lineage: Bacteria; Pseudomonadati; Pseudomonadota; Alphaproteobacteria.